AGUCGAGCGAUGAAGUUUCUUCGGAAAUGGAUUAGCGGCGAACGGGUGAGGAACACGUGAAGAAUCUGCCCUCCACUUUGGGAUAACACCGGGAAACCGGUGCUAAUACCGAAUAUUGAAACAUAAGUGGCAUCACUGAGUUUUGAAAGAAUUUCGGUGGAGGAUGACUUCGCGGCCUAUCAGCUAGUUGGUGAGGUAAUGGCUCACCAAGGCAACGACGGGUAGCCGGCCUGAGAGGGCGACCGGCCACACUGGGACUGAGACACGGCCCAGACUCCUACGGGAGGCAGCAGUGGGGAAUAUUGGGCAAUGGAGGAAACUCUGACCCAGCGACGCCGCGUGCGGGAUGAAGGCCUUCGGGUUGUAAACCGCUUUCAGUAGGGAAGAAGCGAAAGUGACGGUACCUACAAAAGAAGCACCGGCUAACUAUGUGCCAGCAGCCGCGGUAAUACAUAGGGUGCAAGCGUUGUCCGGAAUUAUUGGGCGUAAAGAGCUCGUAGGUCGUUUGUUACGUCGGAUGUGAAAACCUGAGGCUCAACCUCAGGCCUGCAUUCGAUACGGGCAAACUAGAGUUUGGUAGGGGAGACUGGAAUUCCUGGUGUAGCGGUGGAAUGCGCAGAUAUCAGGAGGAACACCAAUGGCGAAGGCAGGUCUCUGGGCCAAUACUGACACUGAGGAGCGAAAGUCUGGGGAGCGAACAGGAUUAGAUACCCUGGUAGUCCAGACCGUAAACGGUGGGCACUAGUUGUGGGAACCUUCCACGGUUUCUGCGACGCAGCUAACGCAUUAAGUGCCCCGCCUGGGGAGUACGAUCGCAAGAUUAAAACUCAAAGGAAUUGACGGGGCCCCGCACAAGCAGCGGA
RNAcentral lists this ribosomal RNA (863 nucleotides) under uncultured organism. RNAcentral describes it as "bacterial SSU rRNA". It matches the Rfam family "Bacterial small subunit ribosomal RNA", at positions 60 to 936 of the family's 1533-position model. The record is from RNAcentral.